This 259-nucleotide long non-coding RNA is filed under the name Trifolium pratense (red clover). RNAcentral's name for it is "long non-coding RNA (TPRA_LNC003890)". The record is from RNAcentral. Lineage: Eukaryota; Viridiplantae; Streptophyta; Magnoliopsida; Fabales; Fabaceae.
AUGUUGGUCUAGCGGCGGUCGUCAUCGGAUCAAGGAGGUUGAAGGUGGUUUAGAUAAAUGGUUGAAGGUGCCGGAAAACUCAACCCAAGGUCGCUCCUUUUGUAAAUAUAAUUAUAUGGGAAAAUAGAGAAGAAAGAUACAAUGAUGAAUAUAUGUAGUUUUUUUUACUAAAAGACGACGGCCGUAGCGAUGGACGACGGCGAGUGGGAUUUCAACGCAAGAAUCAUUGACUAGUUUAAUAUUUUGUCCUAUGUUUAUU